AUUGAACGCUGGCGGCAUGCUUUACACAUGCAAGUCGAACGGUAACAGGCCUUCGGGUGCUGACGAGUGGCGAACGGGUGAGUAAUGCAUCGGAACGUACCCAGAGGUGGGGGAUAACGCAGCGAAAGCUGUGCUAAUACCGCAUGUGAUCUGAGGAUGAAAGCGGGGGACCGAGCAGCAAUGUUUGGCCUCGCGCCUUUGGAGCGGCCGAUGUCGGAUUAGCUAGUUGGUGGGGUAAAGGCCUACCAAGGCGACGAUCCGUAGCUGGUCUGAGAGGACGACCAGCCACACUGGGACUAAGACACGGCCCAGACGCCUAGGGGAGGCAGCAGUGGGGAAUGUUGGACAAUGGGCGCAAGCCUGAUCCAGCAAUGCCGCGUGCGGGAAGAAGGCCUUCGGGUUGUAAACCGCUUUUGGCAGGAACGAAACGGUGUCCGCUAAUACCGGGCGCUAAUGACGGUACCUGCAGAAUAAGCACCGGCUAACUACGUG
RNAcentral lists this ribosomal RNA (492 nucleotides) under uncultured bacterium. RNAcentral describes it as "partial 16S ribosomal RNA". It matches the Rfam family "Bacterial small subunit ribosomal RNA", at positions 29 to 507 of the family's 1533-position model. The record is from RNAcentral.